GACGAAUAUGCUACUGAGGAUGAUGAGUACGAGGAGAACCUGAAAAAGGAGAGCUUGGCUUUGUUCUUCUUGGCUACGUAUGGAGAUGGUGAGCCUACUGAUAAUGCUGCCCGGUUCUACAAAUGGUUUACAGAGGGGAAAGAGAGAGGAAUCUGGUUGGAAAAUAUUCAAUUUGGUGUGUUUGGUUUGGGCAAUCGACAAUAUGAACAUUUUAAUAAGGUUGCUGUGGUGGUCGAUGAACUACUUCAU
Molecule: long non-coding RNA, 249 nt
Organism: Zingiber officinale
Lineage: Eukaryota; Viridiplantae; Streptophyta; Magnoliopsida; Zingiberales; Zingiberaceae
Exons: 4
Source: RefSeq, a predicted model, not a curated record